RNAcentral lists this ribosomal RNA (666 nucleotides) under Planomicrobium sp. RNAcentral describes it as "bacterial SSU rRNA". It matches the Rfam family "Bacterial small subunit ribosomal RNA", at positions 61 to 710 of the family's 1533-position model. Lineage: Bacteria; Bacillati; Bacillota; Bacilli; Caryophanales; Caryophanaceae. The record is from RNAcentral.
GUUCGAGCGGAACUUUGGGAGCUUGCUCCCUUAGUUUAGCGGCGGACGGGUGAGUAACACGUGGGCAACCUGCCCUGCAGAUCGGGAUAACUCCGGGAAACCGGUGCUAAUACCGAAUAGUUUUUUGCCCCUCCUGGGGCGGAACGGAAAGACGGUUUCGGCUGUCACUGCAGGAUGGGCCCGCGGCGCAUUAGCUAGUUGGUGAGGUAAUGGCUCACCAAGGCGACGAUGCGUAGCCGACCUGAGAGGGUGAUCGGCCACACUGGGACUGAGACACGGCCCAGACUCCUACGGGAGGCAGCAGUAGGGAAUCUUCCGCAAUGGACGAAAGUCUGACGGAGCAACGCCGCGUGAGUGACGAAGGUUUUCGGAUCGUAAAACUCUGUUGUAAGGGAAGAACACAUGCCAUUUAACUGAUGGCAUCUUGACGGUACCUUACCAGAAAGCCACGGCUAACUACGUGCCAGCAGCCGCGGUAAUACGUAGGUGGCAAGCGUUGUCCGGAAUUAUUGGGCGUAAAGCGCGCGCAGGCGGUCCUUUAAGUCUGAUGUGAAAGCCCACGGCUCAACCGUGGAGGGUCAUUGGAAACUGGAGGACUUGAGUGCAGAAGAGGAAAGUGGAAUUCCACGUGUAGCUGUGAAAUGCGUAGAGAUGUGGAGGAACACC